This 247-nucleotide ribosomal RNA is filed under the name Pluteus sp. Its description in RNAcentral is "partial 28S ribosomal RNA". It matches the Rfam family "Eukaryotic large subunit ribosomal RNA", at positions 104 to 344 of the family's 3401-position model. Lineage: Eukaryota; Fungi; Basidiomycota; Agaricomycetes; Agaricales; Pluteaceae. The record is from RNAcentral.
AGAGCUCAAAUUUAAAAUCUGGCAGUCUCUGGCUGUCCGAGUUGUAAACUAGAGAAGUGUUAUCCGUGCUGGACCAUGUAUAAGUCUCCUGGAACGGAGCGUCACAGAGGGUGAGAAUCCCGUCUUUGACAUGGACUACCAGUGCAUUGUGAUGCGCUCUCAAAGAGUCGAGUUGUUUGGGAAUGCAGCUCAAAAUGGGUGGUAAAUUCCAUCUAAAGCUAAAUAUUGGCGAGAGACCGAUAGCGAA